GAAAGUGAAGACACUCUGUAUGAUGGGGUUAACAUAAAAUGCUUUUAUGUGUGUUCAUACAAAGAACCAAGGCAAAUAACCUGAAAUGUUUCCAUUUGCUUAACUGGUGAGAGAUUUGGCCAUUCAGACUAAUUAGCAUGCAUCUAUAAUAUCAGUGCUUGAAUUAGGCCAGAACUAAGACCAAGAUACCAAUUUUAAUAGAAAGAUGUGAUGACCUUAUUACUGACAUUGUAUGUGAGAGGUAAGAUUAAAGUGGUAGAAAAAGAUAAAUAAGGAAACAAAAGAGAGAGAAAGAAUG
This 298-nucleotide long non-coding RNA is filed under the name Bos taurus (domestic cattle). RNAcentral's name for it is "long non-coding RNA NONBTAT000031". The record is from RNAcentral. Lineage: Eukaryota; Metazoa; Chordata; Mammalia; Artiodactyla; Bovidae.